GACGAACUGUCCUACCGUUGUUCGGAAUCACUGGGCUUACAGGGUGCGUAGGCGGCUUGUUAAGUAGGGUGUGAAAGCCCCCGGCUCAACCGGGGAAUUGCGCCCUAAACUGGCGAGCUGGAGUGAGAUAGGGGUGUGUGGAACUUCCGGUGGAGCGGUGAAAUGUGUUGAUAUCGGAAGGAACGCCGGUGGCGAAAGCGACACACUGGAUCUUGUCUGACGCUGAGGCACGAAAGCCAGGGGAGCGAACGGG
RNAcentral lists this ribosomal RNA (253 nucleotides) under uncultured bacterium. Its description in RNAcentral is "partial 16S ribosomal RNA". It matches the Rfam family "Bacterial small subunit ribosomal RNA", at positions 524 to 776 of the family's 1533-position model. The record is from RNAcentral.